This is a non-coding RNA of Kogia breviceps (pygmy sperm whale), 348 nucleotides long. Lineage: Eukaryota; Metazoa; Chordata; Mammalia; Artiodactyla; Physeteridae. The record is from RefSeq and is a predicted model, not a curated record.
CUUGGAGAGUCAUGUCCUUCUUGACCAAGAUCUCUUUGGGCAGUUUACUGAAAAUGUUGCCCUAGAAAUACUUCUUAAUUGCAACCUGGCUUCCCUCCACCUAGAAAACUCUAGGCCAAUGGUUUUCAAAGUAUGGCCCUGACUGGCAGCAUCUGGAUGGCAGAAGGAAAUGCGGAUUCUUUCCCCCUUUCACCUGCUGAAUCAGAAAUCCUGCUGAUGGGGUGCUUCAGAGCGGCAAAGAUGGCUGCCGAGUCCUGUCUGCCGCACACGGCGGGGUGUUGCUCCAGGAUGUUGCUUCAAACGUGAUCUGUUUCCCGUUUCAAAGUAGCAGCCCCCACGCUUGGAGCU